RNAcentral lists this ribosomal RNA (286 nucleotides) under uncultured Pseudomonas sp. RNAcentral describes it as "partial 16S ribosomal RNA". It matches the Rfam family "Bacterial small subunit ribosomal RNA", at positions 1097 to 1382 of the family's 1533-position model. Lineage: Bacteria; Pseudomonadati; Pseudomonadota; Gammaproteobacteria; Pseudomonadales; Pseudomonadaceae. The record is from RNAcentral.
CGCAACCCUUGUCCUUAGUUACCAGCACGUUAUGGUGGGCACUCGUAAGGAGACUGCCGGUGACAAACCGGAGGAAGUGGGGAUGACGUCAAGUCAUCAUGGCCCUUACGGCCUGGGCUACACACGUGCUACAAUGGUCGGUACAAAGGGUUGCCAAGCCGCGAGGUGGAGCUAAUCCCAUAAAACCGAUCGUAGUCCGGAUCGCAGUCUGCAACUCGACUGCGUGAAGUCGGAAUCGCUAGUAAUCGUGAAUCAGAAUGUCACGGUGAAUACGUUCCCGGGCCUU